This 253-nucleotide ribosomal RNA is filed under the name uncultured bacterium. Its description in RNAcentral is "partial 16S ribosomal RNA". It matches the Rfam family "Bacterial small subunit ribosomal RNA", at positions 524 to 776 of the family's 1533-position model. The record is from RNAcentral.
UACGUAGGGGGCAAGCGUUGUCCGGAAUCAUUGGGCGUAAAGAGCGCGUAGGCGGCCCUGUAAGUCCGCUGUGAAAGUCAAGGGCUCAACCCUUGAAUGCCGGUGGAUACUGCAGGGCUAGAGUCCGGAAGAGGCGAGUGGAAUUCCUGGUGUAGCGGUGAAAUGCGCAGAUAUCAGGAGGAACACCGAUGGCGAAGGCAGGUCUCUGGGCCACUACUGACGCUGAGAAGCGAAAGCAUGGGGAGCGAACAGG